UUGCUUUCUCCGCCGGCGACCGGCGCACGGGUGAGUAACACGUAUGCAACCUGCCCCUGUCAGGGGGACAACCCGCCGAAAGGCGGGCUAAACCCGCGUACAUGCCACCGGGGCAUCCCGGAGGCAGGAAAGGCUUCGGCCGGACAGGGAUGGGCAUGCGGCGCAUUAGGCAGUAGGCGGGGUAACGGCCCACCUAACCGACGAUGCGUGGGGUUCUGAGAGGAAGGUCCCCCACACUGGUACUGAGACACGGACCAGACUCCUACGGGAGGCAGCAG
This 278-nucleotide ribosomal RNA is filed under the name uncultured bacterium. RNAcentral describes it as "partial 16S ribosomal RNA". It matches the Rfam family "Bacterial small subunit ribosomal RNA", at positions 76 to 354 of the family's 1533-position model. The record is from RNAcentral.